Molecule: ribosomal RNA, 301 nt
Filed under: uncultured bacterium
Lineage: Bacteria
Description: partial 16S ribosomal RNA
Rfam family: Bacterial small subunit ribosomal RNA
Source: RNAcentral
CAGCAGCCGCGGUAAUACAGAGGGUGCGAGCGUUAAUCGGAUUUACUGGGCGUAAAGCGUGCGUAGGCGGCUUCUUAAGUCGGAUGUGAAAUCCCUGAGCUUAACUUAGGAAUUGCAUUCGAUACUGGGAAGCUAGAGUAUGGGAGAGGAUGGUAGAAUUCCAGGUGUAGCGGUGAAAUGCGUAGAGAACUGGAGGAAUACCGAUGGCGAAGGCAGCCAUCUGGCCUAAUACUGACGCUGAGGUACGAAAGCAUGGGGAGCAAACAGGAUUAGAUACCCCCGUAGUCCCUGUCUCUUAUAC